UUCUAAUUACUAUGGUAUUUCUUUCCAUUCUUCCACAGUUGAACUCUUCAAAAAUGGUGUCUCUUGGAUUCCUUCCUUGAUCUCAUCUUUGCUACCAUCACCUUAGACAGAGCAAGUCUGUUCUCAGUCAUUCCAAGAAAUAAGCAGAGGCAGAGCUUUAUCAUCUUUAUGGCCACCAACUGCUAUAAUUCAAGGUCAAAUCCCUUUGCCCUCUGCUCAGAGGAUCCUUUGUGACUCAUGAUCCACCCAUUCCCAGAACUGAGGUGAGAACAGAUUUUGUAAGUGAAGUCUUGCCAGUAUUUUGUCAUUUUAUACAUAGCUCCAUUCUUCAGUAUGCAGCUGUAGCCUAAUUAACCUGGACUACAAUUCUUCUUGUUCUUUUUUAUAUUUCUUUUUAUUCUGAAGUUAAUGAACACCAAAUAAAAUGAAUAUUUACAUAUGCUUAGUAUAACA
This 453-nucleotide long non-coding RNA is filed under the name Phascolarctos cinereus (koala). RNAcentral's name for it is "lncRNA (ENSPCIG00000028620.2)". The record is from RNAcentral. Lineage: Eukaryota; Metazoa; Chordata; Mammalia; Diprotodontia; Phascolarctidae.